RNAcentral lists this unclassified non-coding RNA (315 nucleotides) under plant metagenome. RNAcentral describes it as "partial contains small subunit ribosomal RNA, internal transcribed spacer 1, and 5.8S ribosomal RNA". The record is from RNAcentral.
UUUCCGUAGGUGAACCUGCGGAAGGAUCAUUAUUGAAAUAAACCUGAUGAGUUGCUGCUGGUUCUCUAGGGGACAUUGUGCACACUUGUCAUCUUUAUGUCUCCACAUGUGCACCUUUUGUAGACCUGGAUGUAUUUUCUCAAUGCGCUAGCGUGUUCAGGUUUGAGGAUUGGCUUUCAACUGCCUCUCCUUGCAUAUCCAGGCCUAUGUCUUUGUUCAUAUACUCCAAAUGUAUGUUACAGAAUGUAUUUAUUGGACUUUUUGCGAAGCCCAUGUAAUCUAUUACAACUUUCAGCAACGGAUCUCUUGGCUCUC